AGAAUUACUCUGGGGUCAAAGGUCGGAGAAACAUCCACUGUCGCUUUGAUAGAUCUGAAAGCAGGAGCGGUCCAGGACAGCGAUCCCGCUGUUCUUCCUCGUAUUGCUUGUCGCCAUCUUGGCCUGGAUAUGGCCCUAUUUGCCACGUUCUGCUGAUUUGUCUGUGAGGAUUUAUAAAUAUACACAGAGUUCCAAAGAAAACUUAGUUUUGUCUAUGAAAACAUAUCAAAAAAUGGAAAUAUGCAGUCCGACCAUGACAGUUGUAGUCUAUAGUUCAGUUCAUUUUGGUCAUCAACAUCAUUAACGAAAAAUUCUAUCCACGACAUGAUUCAUUUCAAAAACUAGACUGCGAAGUGAGAACUGGCUGUUACGUAUUAAAAUGGAUAUUCAUAAUCCUAUUCAACUUGGACAGCGAAGCGAAAACUGGCCGUUAUAGGCUAUAUUAAAAUGGAUAUUCAUAAUCAAUUUUACUUUAGCUAUUAUCCAUUUGUUUGGUCAUCAUAGCAUCCCAUAAAUUAAAUAAAUUUAUUAUUAACUUUUGAUACUUACGGUAUCCUGGUAUCAUUUAAACAUCCUUUCUCGUGUAAUAUAUGUCUUCCAUUACAUCAAAUUCUUCCCCGUGUCCAAUUUUUGUGCUUCCUAUUAGCAAGGUUCUACAUCCUAACAUUUUUCGAUUCUACUCGUUUUUGGGGAAUGCUUAAAUUUCAACAUAUAAUAGAUUUAAUGUACAUAUUAUGGCCCCAACUCGUAUACCUGGAGUGUAGGCGGAAGGUGUGUGUAACUGUAAACAUUUAAUUAAACUAUUCAAAGUUUUGCCAUACAUUUCCUACAAUUGAAAAAUAUAUGAACUGAAUACAAGUUGAUUUUGAAGGCUCAUCCCUACCAUAUAGUACAGGGGUCUGCAACCUUUUGUCCCUCGCGAGCCAAAAUUAAAGGUUGCGACCCCUGAUAUAGUAUAACCAUGCUUUAUUUAAGAGUAGAAUGUGUAAAUAUAAUUUUUGUAAAUAAGUAUUCGCUUAAUUUUAAUAAUUCUGCAAACAAAAUCAAAUGUCUUCCAGCCAUUUCUUAUAUAUAAAUAGUGCUUUCAUUCUCCAUAUUGAUGUGUUAUUGUAAAUAUAACUUUAUUUUAUGUAAUCAUUGAUUGUAUAUACACUUGCAUGGCUCCGUUAUUCAAUUAUGUCCAUAGAAAUAAUAUUAGUAUGGAUUUGGAAUUUUCAUAAACCGUCCUUUAUCAAACAAUUUUUCAAUAAUAUUCCAGCAGUAUUUUGUAUGGCUAUUAAAAAACUUAGAUCAUUUUGUUAGUUUUUAUUUUUAUGGCCUGACUCAUUUUUGUGAUUUUUACCGAAUCUUGACUGAAUUUUGCCUCUAAUUUUUCCAGUUUGUUUCUGUUUUCAUGUCUACUAAAACACUUCUGAAAUUGAGAUACAGGCAACCAUACCUUUUGGCUUGCAGUUUUUUAUAAAUGUCUCAAAUAUUGAAUAAUUUGUCAUGGGUCAUUGACUUUUUUGUUCUGCUCUUGUAUUAUGAAUUAUGAUAAUGUAUUUGAAAACUUUAUAUGCAAAUGAUAAAAUUGCGUGUAUAAUGGUUGUAUGUGGUAAAUUUUUUUGAUGAUUGACAUCCACCCAAUUGCCCUGGAAAAUAUUUUUGGUUAGCAGCCUUAGGUGGUUUAAUAUAUCUGAAAUGUUUUAAAUCAUUAAAUUUCUUCGAAAAUUCGAAAAAUUUACUUCUCAAGUCAAUCUGUCCACGAGAACAGUAUUUGAAAAUAUAUAUCCCAAGUUUUAUUCAUUUUUUUAAUUUAGAAUUAGUUGGGCAUCAUAAAUCACUGGCAUAAAACUUAAAAUCAAAGUUUUUGGAAAGUAUGAACAUUUCUGGUUAACUAAAUAACAGAUUUUUUGUUUAUGUAUAGUGCAUGCUUAUAUACUAUUAUAUACUCAGCAACCAUAUAAUCAUAUUAUAUAACUGUUAUACUUUCAAGGGUUCCACAAAUGCAGUAUUGCUCGGUUGUUGUUUCACACUACUCGUUGACAUUCAUUUGAAUGUAGAGUGGUGUAAAAAUGACUCUGGGCGACCCUUUUUGUAUAUAGCCUAUUAUGAAGUUAUUAAGCACGCACUAUUAUUAACCUGCACAUGUAAGCGCUCAUAUUACUACAAUAUUAUAUAUGUGUCUUCAUCAAUAAUUGUAUACUUGCAAAUCUAUAUAAUAUAUUGUAACCCAGCAAAAAAUCAUACUUUUCAAUUAAAUAACUUGUACUGCCUGGCGCCGCGCCCACAAUUCUUCCAACUAAGAUGGUCAUCUACUGCCUUUUCAUAGAGGCUUUUCAGUUCAACCCCCAUAAAAAUAUACAGGGAAUUUCAAAAUUUGCAUUCUAACUAAAUUCGAAAUUGAAAGUUUUAUUCAUGAUAGUUUUUUUCACUGACAAAUAUUACUAAUUUAAGUUUACUCAUUUGGGUAUUUGAACACCACACUUCAUUGCAAAAUUUAGUUUGAUUUGUUUCACUGAGUAUUGGCCACACAUGAACAAUGUUGAAAUAUUUCCAUGUGUUGUCCAUAUUUUACAAAGAACAGCUUCUGUGACUGGGCAGUCAAGUUAAGUUGAUUGCUUAUAAUGUUUUUAAUUGCAAAUAUAUCACCAAUCACUAUAUAA
This is a non-coding RNA of Styela clava, 2645 nucleotides long. The record is from RefSeq and is a predicted model, not a curated record. NCBI's taxonomy places the organism in Eukaryota, Metazoa, Chordata, Ascidiacea, Stolidobranchia, Styelidae.